Molecule: long non-coding RNA, 201 nt
Filed under: Homo sapiens (human)
Lineage: Eukaryota; Metazoa; Chordata; Mammalia; Primates; Hominidae
Description: HSALNT0045889
Source: RNAcentral
GGUCUUCCGUCACGCCCCGCUUCCCGCAAACAAAUCACCGCCACCACUUAGGAAACCACGGGAAAGCUGUGAUUGCAGCGCCACGGUCGCCAGAUUUCUGCUCCUGGGCACAUUACCCCCAACUCCGAGGCCCCCUUUUUGGCAGGGCUAGUCUGGACUGGCCAAUCCAGGUCCCUGCACGCCUCUCACCGCAACAUCCCC